CAUUCAUCCACGACGUGAGACGUUUCGUGGACCAAAAUGAACCAAUAGCCGCUGUCACCGCAUGACACUGAACACAGGGUCUCAUCCCAUCCUCUCUCAUCAUCAUCAUCAAUCUCAAGCGUUCCUCAACUGAAGGGAAAAUGCCGCGCUGUCUCGUAUGUCAGUACGACCCCAUCGAUGCCAUGCUCGUGGCCGUAGAAAGAGAGCACGAAGCUAGAAUAGAGAAUCUCGGUAAUAGCCCAGUCGUCCUUUCAGAUGACGACGACGACAGAGACAGUAGUCCGCCUUUCGUAAUACCUGAAACGGACGACGACGAACCCCUAGAUGGACAUGACAAUGCAGACGAAUUGCUCAUGUGGGAAGGGGAUCAGUCGUAUGCAGAUUUCAUUCCUCUGUCUGGUAGGGUUCGAGAUGAAUCACCAGAUGCAAGCCCAGAAUUUCGAAACGAAGCUGAGCCUGUCCAGGGUCGUAGAAUCGUUGAAUUGAGAGAACACGUCGUAGAGAAUCAUCCCUCCGUCACGGAGAGACGAUUCCUUCCUUUCUUUGUCACAGAUGAGGCAUUUGACGGAACGGCUACUAGGUACACGC
Molecule: long non-coding RNA, 588 nt
Organism: Ornithodoros turicata
Lineage: Eukaryota; Metazoa; Arthropoda; Arachnida; Ixodida; Argasidae
Exons: 3
Source: RefSeq, a predicted model, not a curated record